CAGGUUUUGCCCAUCAUUGUUUUCUUCAGCUGCACCAUGUCAGUUCUCUACUACGUGAGCCUCAUGCAGUGGGUGAUCCUGAAGAUCUCCUGGCUGAUGCAGGCCACCAUGGGUCCCAUGGCCACGGAGACCCUGAGUGUGGCUUGAAACAUCUUUGUGAGCCAGGUGGAGGGGGUACGCCCCAAGUGCCCGUGCUAGCCUGACCAGCUCUGCCUGUUGGACAUCUUUCCCGUUUGCAGACUGAGGCUCCUCUACUGAUCCGGCCCUACUUGGCAGACAUGACACUCUCUGAAAUCCACGUUGUCAUAACCAGAGGCUGUGCCACCAUUGCCGGCAGCCUGCUGGACGCCUACAUCUCCUUUGGGAGAUGCUCAAAACCUCUUAGAAGCAGCUAGCAGUGGGGCCGCCAUGUCCGUGAGGGUCAUGACCAACAUCGCAGCCAACCUGAUUGCUU
Molecule: long non-coding RNA, 454 nt
Organism: Physeter macrocephalus (sperm whale)
Lineage: Eukaryota; Metazoa; Chordata; Mammalia; Artiodactyla; Physeteridae
Exons: 4
Source: RefSeq, a predicted model, not a curated record